This 22-nucleotide microRNA is filed under the name Caenorhabditis briggsae. RNAcentral describes it as "Cbr-Mir-7595-P1_3p* (star (passenger))". The record is from RNAcentral. Lineage: Eukaryota; Metazoa; Nematoda; Chromadorea; Rhabditida; Rhabditidae.
ACUUUCUCGGUUGACGGGUACC